GAUGACCUUGUUUUCCCUUCCCGUGAGGAACCCGGGCUGCAAUCCUGCAACCACACGGGGCAGGCCCACCUCCAAGGUUCCGAAAACCCGAGAGGAAACCCUCAAACGUUGCAAUAGCAUACUUCACCUCUUUGAGUAAGAUGCCUCCCUUCUCGGACAUCUCCUUGCUUCUAUUUCAGGCUCAGUACCUGCCUGCUAUCAGAAUAACAGACCUUGAGAACCUCCCUCCCUUCCCUGGACUAAAACAAGGGGGUCAUCCUGGAUCAUCUGUAAAGGCUCGGCUGGAAACACCUUGUAAGUUAAGAUGCAUUCAUACUAACGUGUGAAUGACUGCUUACCGCUGAAAAACUCAACCUCCAUCAUGAGAACUGCAACUUAACAAAGAAAAACAUUUCCAGUUAUAUUUGGACUAGAGAAAGGACAGUCCUGCAGCAGUCGUUUAGCAACAAAGGCUGGUCAUCAGGCUCCUUUAAGUGGCAAGGGAAAGAAGCUAAUAUUGAUUGGACAAUUUAUGUAUCUUUCCCUAAGAACAUCACAACCCUUACAACAUUGGAAGAGGGUGACCACCCAUUUUCAGACAAGAAAACUGAGGCUCAGAGGUGUUAAGGAACUCGGUCAAGGUUACCCAGUGGUUGAGUGGUGGAGACCUGAAUUGGGUCCAGGUGGCUGACCCCUCACUGUCCCCCUGCUUUCCACCCCAUGCAAGGGGCUUAAUGGACACCCUUCCAUCUCCACUCUCCAGCCUAGAAAGGUCUCCUGGACACAUUGAUUUUUGUGUGUGUGUUCUUAACGCAUUUGCAGAAUCUGAGACCCCGGCUGCAAAGAGGGGUCAGGAAUGAGAAGGCAGACUCCUUUCAGCAGCUCCGGUCUUGAGACUAUUUCCCGCCGUCUGCACUGCCUUCUUUGGUGCCUCCUUAUUUACCACCCACGGUAAUGGUUCAGCCACAUCUCCAGCUCAUCCAUUUCCAGAGCCCUGGUCAGAGGUGGGUCACGAAGGUGAGCACGGAAAUUGGUAGAUUCAGAGAGAUUAAUUUCCAGCCCUCCUCCUGAGUGCGAUGGUCGCUUAACUGACCUUCCUGCCUGUGGUCUCGAAGCCCCUCCCAGUGCAGCCUGUAAAAGGCUACAAAACGACAUGCCCUCAAGCACAAGCUGCAAAUCUUCAGUGGCCCCUUACUGCCAUCACAAGAAAUUCCCCAGAGCGUCUGUGGUUCAGCCACAAGCUGCAUUUCAAGUCUGAGCUCUCGCUGCCUCAUUUGCCCCACUCCCUGGGAAUGCGAGCCUAGCCUGUUGGCUGUAAGUGUUCUGUGCUCGCCUCCCCGCGGCCCGUGCCCUGUCCCUUGUUCCCAGUUCCCAGCCCAGACCGUCCUGCAGGUCCCCAGCCCGCCACAGAGCCGUCUCCCGUGGACAACGCUGAGAACCACGAGCCUCAUGUUUGUGCUGGUGACAUUGUCCUUGUCCCACCUGCUCUGGAUCUCUCCUCUCUCACCACUACCCCUGACCCUGACCCUCACCCCACUAAAGUCUGUGAGCUCCGAAGAGACGAUGACUUUUUAAAAUUCAUUUCAGGGUCCCUGAUCCUAGCAAAGCACCGGGCACGCAGUAGGUCUCAGUAAAUGCUUGUGAAUGAGGGAAGCCAAGUAAAAAGAACUCAUUAGCACGAACCAUCUCUUCCUCAGUCGAGCCCCACACAGACCCCGGCAGGAAGGAUUACCGCUUGGCGGUGGUCUUAGGGCUACAAUUUUGCUGUCAUACCCAAACGCAGUGCCUGAAAGCUUUUACUUUUUUUUUUUUAAAUAUAUUUUAUUUUAUUUUG
Long non-coding RNA from Lynx canadensis (Canada lynx), 1813 nucleotides. RefSeq lists it as uncharacterized. NCBI's taxonomy places the organism in Eukaryota, Metazoa, Chordata, Mammalia, Carnivora, Felidae. The record is from RefSeq and is a predicted model, not a curated record. The transcript has 2 exons.